CCUACGGGCGGCAGCAGUGAGGAAUAUUGGUCAAUGGGCGGGAGUCUGAACCAGCCAAGUAGCGUGAAGGACGACUGCUCUAUGGGUUGUAAACUUCUUUUAUAAAGGAAUAAAACGAUCCACGUGUGCCUUUUUGCAUGUACUUUAUGAAUAAGGAUCGGCUAACUCCGUGCCAGCAGCCGCGGUAAUACGGAGGAUCCGAGCGUUAUCCGGAUUUAUUGGGUUUAAAGGGUGCGUAGGUUGUUUUAUAAGUUAGCGGUGAAAGUUUGAGGCUCAACAGUGAGAUUGCCGUUGAUACUGGAAGACUUGAGUACGGAUGAGGUAGGCGGAAUGCGUGGUGUAGCGGUGAAAUGCAUAGAUAUCACGCAGAACCCCGAUUGCGAAGGCAGCUUACUAAGCCGUAACUGACACUGAUGCACGAAAGCGUGGGGAUCAAACAGGAUUAGAUACCCUUGUAGUC
This 460-nucleotide ribosomal RNA is filed under the name uncultured bacterium. RNAcentral's name for it is "partial 16S ribosomal RNA". It matches the Rfam family "Bacterial small subunit ribosomal RNA", at positions 338 to 795 of the family's 1533-position model. The record is from RNAcentral.